UUCUUUGGACAUUUAUGUACAAAAAUUGAAGCGGACGAGCAAACUAUUUAUUAUUAUGGUUUUUUUUCGAAAUUUAUAUUUUGGCAAGCGAUACCUUGAAUUUGUUGAGAAGAAAGUGUAUUUAAAUUUUUAUUCUACAAAACAUUUGUUUUGAGGAGCAAGAAAUAUUUUUAACACCAUAAAAAAUGUAUUUUCUGUAAACUGUGGAGCGAAUGAUGACAUUUUAUGAAAAUGAAGUUAUAGUUUUCAUUUAAAUGGAGCUAUUAUUCAGAAAGUCUUCAGGGAAAGGCAGUAAUUUUAUUUUUAAUGUUUCCAAAGUUUUGGAGUGAGCGAAUCCAAAGACCUAUAUAUCAAUUUAGAGUUGUCUGAUCAGUAUACAUGUAUAUAGUAUUACCGUCUUUUUGUCAUAAUGUCAUUCGCAUAUAAUGUUAACCAGAUCAUUAGUAAAUAUUUAAAUUUAGUAUGUUUAUUUUGCCUGUUCCUAAAGACGUCUUUAAGAUAGCUGGGGUGUCUAAAUGUUCAACAAUAGAUUUUUCUUAAACUUCUAUAAAAGACUUCUGAGUCAAUGUACUCUCGAAUAUUAAUAUACAAACAAGUGGUCACGGAUCUGGUUUUUUUUUUCGUUAAAAUACAUUGUAGUAAAUGAAAUUACAGUUUUUUUUUAAAUGGGUUAUAUAGGGGAAACAUAACUUUUCCUUAUUGAGGAAACAUUAAACGAACGUAUUGGUUAAAAUUCAAUGAGAUGAUUGCUUUUUAUAAAUACUUCCGAAACAUCAAAUGAAAAAUGGGAGUCAUGGGCCUUCUCCCUAUUUUCUUGAAAAAUCCAAAAACCACAAAUUGUCCUUUCAAAUUCAACAUAAUUAUCCGACCUUGAUUUUAAAUGGAUUUUCUUUUCUGAAAAUUUUAAAUACACUAAACGACACUUAAUUUUUCAAUAGUUUAGUCUUUAAAAAUUUCAAGUUUUAGAUGUUUCUGUUGUAUAUUGAUUGCUACUUGGCCACGGUAAAAUAUCUUUUAACAAUAAGAGUAUUUUUUGAACACGCCCAGAAGGGAUGCUAAAAUAAAGACACCCGAUCUACCUUAAAAAAAAUGAAAUUAAACUGUGCAUGUUGAAAAAAAAAAAAGACAUUGUGAUAUGUAAAAUAACAAUUUAAUUAGAAUAUGGAUCUCUGAUUUCGUUACCCUCAUAUGAGGACGUGUAAGCGAUUUAUGAUAGAUAUGAACUUCAAUAAGAUUGGUAAAAUAACUAACAGUAUUAAUGUAUUUUAACUUAGAUUUAUUAAUUAAUCUACUUUAAAUCUUUAACAAAUCGUUUUGUCAGUUUAUAUAUAUAUAUAUAUAAACAAGUCUAAAUUGAAAACAACGUUCAAACCUAUGAUUGCGUUGGAUAAAAACCGCAAUUUUUAUACGUGUGCAUGCAAAACAAAUUUCUUGAUAGAGGGGUCUAAAUACAGCACAAACAACAUUUUCCAAAAGACCAAAAAAGUGAAAAAGUAUAUUUUAACAAAACGCAUUUGACUAACAGGUCGAACAACAGAUGUUCUUAAACCCUGCUGACUGCAAUUGGCGAUUGCAAAAUAAACGGAUCACAAGAUGUUACAAAAUAUAUAUAUAUAUAUAUAUAUAUAUUUUCGUACUUUCAUAUACGAUGACACACUUGAACCAUGAUUCUGACAGCAAAUUGCAAGCAUUAUUUUAUCAGGCAUUUCGACUCAUAACUUCUCGGCAGCAUUCAGCAGUCCUGACAACAAAAAAGAAAAAAGAAGAAAAUAUACCUUUCCUUUUUUUAAAAAUUGAUAACAAUUAAAAUCAGCUUAUAAUAUGCAUCAUAGGAGCCUGUUAUUCAGUGGUUGUCGUUGGUUGCUAUAGAGAUAUUAUUUUUUUCGUUUACUAUUAUUUUUUUUAGUAUAAGUCAGGUCAUUGAAAUGAUCUCUUUUGAAUUUUUUCCCAUUUCACCACUCCAGGGCCUUUUAUAGCUGAUUAUACAGUUAAAGGUUUUGCUAGUGUUAUCCUUCUUCGUCGUUUUCUAAUAGAAAGUUGUCCUAGUUUGCAAUCCUAACACUUCUCCUAAUUUCAUAUACGUAUAGCGAGUAAUGGUUUAUAUGCUACUCUCUAUCGACAAAAAAAAAUGUGCAACACUCCGCUUUGUUUUUAUAAUAUUUUAUAUGUAAGGUGAGAACUACUGUAAUUAGGAUUAGGAACAACUUUUGUAUAUAUUGUUAAGUUUAAGUAUAAUAAGCAAUUUCAAUGUCGGGUGAAUUCACAAUAAUAUAUAAAAAUAACCGAUGUUAAAUGCCCAACUUCCGCAUCAGGUAUAAAACCUCAUUUUCUCUACAUGCCAUAUACAUGUAUCUUCCAAUAGGACAAAAACAGAAAAAUGAGAACAGAAUAAAACAAAAAACGCAACAAAACUGCAUGUAAGCUUCAGAUCAAAUAAAAAAUUAUUCGUAACUCGUUUUAAUAAACAAAGUAAAGACGUUUAUUAUUUUUUCUGAUUUAUCCUUAAAUUUUUGUUUUGGCAAUGAAGGAACCCUUAUUAUGAUAGUAAUAAUAAAAAGUGCUCCCUUAAAUCAAGAGAAAUUAAAACUGACUUGAUGUUGCAAAGGUUCCUUUACGUGCUCCCCACUAUUUUUUCAUUUCUAUUUUUAUAACAAAAAUAAAACAACAACAUUGAAACGUGGUACUCUUGACUUUUUUGUAACGCACGUCCUCAGGCAAAUCGGACCAGACUGCAUGAUUUAUAUACCCUUCAUAUCCAAUACGAGUGCCUUCAUUGCAACUGUCUCUGUUGACGGAUAGAAAAAGUAAACCAUGAUGGUGACUAUAUAUUCAAUAACAUCUGAUCAGUAUGGUUUCUUUCUUAUUUAAAACUCAUUUAAAAAUAUAUUUAGAUUCACUGUUUUAGCGAUUAACAUGCAUAAAGUUGCAUUUCAUUGUACGUAAAACAAUAUCCAUUUUAUUAAAACUGUCCAGUUAUCUUAAAUUAAUCCCACACCAAGUAACAUUGAAAUAUAUCAUAUGCAAAAAUGUCGAGGUAAAAAACAACAAUACAAAAACAAUCCAAGGAUACUAUAUAAAUCCUUGACAUAACAAAAACUUGUAAUUUUUCUGCAAUACUUUCGACCUCUAAAUCUAAUUUACUUAACCUUUAAAAUGUAAAAGACAUUUAGUAUUUGAGUAUUAUAGUCUACACUGUUGUUUUCUCUGUUCCCUAUUCUAAGAAAUAAAGUUUUCAUUGUU
Molecule: long non-coding RNA, 3240 nt
Organism: Mytilus californianus (California mussel)
Lineage: Eukaryota; Metazoa; Mollusca; Bivalvia; Mytilida; Mytilidae
Exons: 2
Source: RefSeq, a predicted model, not a curated record